This 274-nucleotide ribosomal RNA is filed under the name uncultured bacterium. RNAcentral's name for it is "partial 16S ribosomal RNA". It matches the Rfam family "Bacterial small subunit ribosomal RNA", at positions 523 to 796 of the family's 1533-position model. The record is from RNAcentral.
AGACGAACCGUCCAAACGUUAUUCGGUAUCACUGGGCUUAAAGCGUGCGUAGGCGGCUUGGUAGGUGAGAUGUGAAAGCCCACGGCUCAACCGUGGAAUUGCGUUUCAAACCCCCAAGCUCGAGGAAGAUAGGGGUGAUGGGAACUUAUGGUGGAGCGGUGAAAUGCGUUGAUAUCAUAGGGAACACCGGUGGCGAAAGCGCAUCACUGGAUCUUUUCUGACGCUGAGGCACGAAAGCUAGGGUAGCGAACGGGAUUAGAAACCCUAGUAGUCC